GACGAACGCUGGCGGCGUGCUUAACACAUGCAAGUCGAACGGAAAGGCCCCUUUGGGGGAACUCGAGUGGCGAACGGGUGAGUAACACGUGAGUAACCUGCCCUUGACUUCGGGAUAACUUCAGGAAACUGGGGCUAAUACCGGAUAGGAAUCCUUGCUGCAUGGUGGGGGUUGGAAAGCUUCGGCGGUUUUGGAUGGACUCGCGGCUUAUCAGCUUGUCGGUGGGGUAGUGGCUUACCAAGGCUUUGACGGGUAGCCGGCCUGAGAGGGCGACCGGCCACAUUGGGACUGAGAUACGGCCCAGACUCCUACGGGAGGCAGCAGUGGGGAAUAUUGCACAAUGGGCGGAAGCCUGAUGCAGCAACGCCGCGUGCGGGAUGACGGCCUUCGGGUUGUAAACCGCUUUCAGCAGGGGCGAAGCUUGUGGUGACGGUACCUGCAGAAGAAGCACCGGCUAACUACGUG
RNAcentral lists this ribosomal RNA (465 nucleotides) under uncultured bacterium. RNAcentral's name for it is "partial 16S ribosomal RNA". It matches the Rfam family "Bacterial small subunit ribosomal RNA", at positions 28 to 507 of the family's 1533-position model. The record is from RNAcentral.